CCAAAACAUGCCAAAGUAAUGUUAAAUUGGCUGGAACACCUCGAUAGGAAGAUAUUGGGUACGAAGUUGCAUAUAAAGCAGCGAAGAGGUGAAACUCCACAUCCUUGACAAGAUGAAGACCGUACAGGUUGCUCUUCUCGUCUUUGUGCUCAUCAGCCAGGGUGAGGCCCUGGAGUGUAACUGUGGAGGAAUAAAUACUUUGUGUACAACUGAGACUUGCUCAGGUGUCAGCGAUGUCUGUGCCGUUUACUACAGGUUUGACAACACUCUGGUACACUAUAAAGGCUGCGCACCACGCAGUGAAUGCUUUCCGAAGAGGAACAUCGACAGAACAACUAAAUGCUGCAUGUCUAACUGGUGCAACUGAUAAAAGUUCCUGUUCAUGAAUGGCAUGGAUUUACAAUCCAAAUAAAUGGGUGGAGAAAAAAAGUACUGUAAAGUUUUCAUUCAUUCACUCAUCUUCUGAAUCGCGUGUGUGAACGGCGUACUUCCCAGUUAUGCGCGCGCAUUCGCGCCCGCCCCCACCUUUGUGUUUAUUGCACUGUUUAUUGCACAAUUCAUUUGUGUGUUGUUGAUUAUUGUGCAGUCAAUUUGCAUUGUUUUAGAUCAGCACUGAUAUGAUGUUAACUGUAACCCCUAAACCCUAACCUGAAGUUCAGAAUUUUUCACAUUAGGCUUAAUCUUCGAGUUAGGGGAGGGUUAAUUAGUCGGUGAAGUUUAUUUCAACAGAUUCCAUGCCGUUUGUUAGUUUCAGGGCUCCUGAGUGGCUUAGCUAGCGCGAGUUAAUGGUGGUUGAACUCAACUCCAUCGACUACUUAAACCCCCGGUGACACCAAGAUUAAGCCUUAUGUGAAAAAUUCUUAUCUUCCCCUUUAAAUUCAAUUAUCGGAAAGUCACUUACAUGUGAUGACAUUUUUCUGUUGUCAUUCUUAUGUUAGGGCAGCAAAGAGAGAAAAAUUGGUAAAAAGUAACCGGUACAUUACUUUUAAAGUAACUUAGUUACUUUGAUGAUAAAGUAAUCAGUAAAGUAACUACAUUACUUUUUUGAGGCGUAAUCAGUAAUCAGUAAUGAAAUUACUUUUUCAAGUAACCUGUGACAACACCGUUCAAAUGUUUCCGCAAAAAAAUUGACCAUAACAUCGAAACUGCUUUUGGGGAAUUUAACUGAUUGUGUUAAAUGAGAAAACAUGCAAAACCUUUUUUGGGGGGUUAUCUAAGUCAGUGUUUUUCAACCGGUGUGCCACAUGAAAUUAUCCAAUACCACAUUUUUUAUUUUUUUUUACGUCGUUGGGCGGAGUUACAGUGGGAAGGAAGGUGUAGGUAGAAGGUUGCGGUCGUGUGCAGAUGUGCGAGGUAUUGCUCGUGUCGCGUUCAAGAAUUGCUCGGACUUCUAGCCAUCAGCCACCUUGCUGACCGUAACAAUGUGGACCUCAGCACGUCUAUUGUACAUCAUUUGAUUAGACUCGUCAAGUGUCGAUGUACACAAAACUGUCCUAUCCAAUUCAUCCAUAUGUGACGACCGUCAAUCCUCGCCCUGUGUUUUAUUCCAACACAUUGUCGAGCCAUCCCUGCGCUGUCAUAUGUAAUUUGCGUUCCGGCACCUUAUGAGUUUCAAAUCAAGCACUGCUUGUGUAGCGUCAUCCGUUUCGACCGCGCGUAUCUGAGUCGGACGAGACAUUCAACUUUAUUUCCUUAUAAUAUGAAAUGUAAAUGUUUGCAUUUAAAAUAUAUUCCAUUUCACUUGGCUUAAUGUAAGUCAUUUGUACCUAUUUUUGUUAAUGUAUGUUCCUGUGUUUUUAAAUGUAUACAUCCGUCAGUGUUUACAUUUGCUUCAAUUUUAAUGUACAGUGGAUCACAAAAGUGAGUACACCCCUCGCAUUUCUGCAGAUAUUUAAGUAUAUCUUUUCAUGGGACAACACUGACAAAAUGACACUUUGACACAAUGAGAAGUAGUCUAUGUGCAGCUUAUUUUCCCUCAAAAAAACUCAAAAUAUAGCCAUUAAAUAUCGAGACCACUGGCGACAAAAGUGAUUACACCCCUUUGAAAAAACGUACAUCCCUCAAUGUCCAAAUUGAGUACUGCUUGUCAUUUUCCCUCCAAAAUGUCAUGUGACCCGCCCGUCACCUCAGACCAUAGGACACCAUAGGACAUGGUGCCAGUAAUCCAUGUGCUUUGUAGAUAUGCCUUCAGCAAGCUGUUUGCGGGGUUUUUUUAUGUACCGUGUUGAUGGGGGAAAAUAUUACAUUAUGCUUUUGUGAUGUAUGAUUGCUUCUGUGACAUAGAUUGUAACAACUUCUAUUGUUUUUCACCUUGUUCCCAUAGUUGGGAGACGCGCUUGAGAAUCUCACAAGAUAACUUGUUUUGCACCAUAGUAUUGUUUUACUACACGCCUGGGUCCCAUAGUUACACGCCUGGGUCCCAUAGAGAUAACUUGUUUUGCACCCAUAAUAUUUACUAUUACUAUUACUAUACUAUUUAAUAUAUUUGUUGGCAUCUGUUGCAGCACAGCUCAUUUGUCCCAUGUGAAAAGCCCUUUUUCAAGAGGGCUGAACCAAAAGUAGCUUAAAUGUUUGUGAUUGGACGGGGCCGCGCCGCUCGGGGUCGGAAGUUGGCCUCUCCGCCUCCGAGGGGUGCGUCCUUACAAAACUGGACACUUCCGGGCGACCCGUGAAGUCCGCCAGGGGUCACGUACGGAUCGCCUGGCUUUGCCCCUUUGCCGCUUUACUGGAAUGUUGCUGGCUUCCCACUCACUUGUCACGGUAAGCGAUUUUCAUUGCUAGGGGACACUUGGUUGUACUGUAACGUAGCAUAGGGAUUCUGAGAUUGACAAACUCAAAUCUAGCAUCACGUUACCAUCUGUUUGCUUGCUCUUGUGGGAUUGUAAUCAAUAAAUCUAAUUUAUUCUGCAUUUUCUAAUCAAUAAACAUCGUCUAUUGAGCAAAAGUGUGCCUGUUACUGAUUCACCGUGAACCUGGAAAUUUCGGAAAACACGUGUUCACAAGAGGCUUCCUCCUGGGGUGACAGCAAUGCACACCAAUUUGAUGUAGAGUGCGGCGUAUGGUCUGAGCACUAACAGGCUGACCCCACACUUCUUCAAUCUCUGCAGCAAUGCUGACAGCACUCCUGUAACGAGUCACAUGGCAUUUUGGAGGGAAAAUGACAAGCAGUACUCAAUGUGGACAUUUAGGGAUGUACGUAGUUUCUAUGCGGUGUACUCACUUUUGUUACCAGGGGUUUAGAUACUAAAGGCUUUAUUUUGAGGAGAAAAUUAUAUAAGAUGCACACAGACUAAAUUCCAUUGUGUCAAAGUGUCAUGAAAAGAUAUACUUAAUUAUCUGCAGAAAUGCGAGGUGUAUUCACUUUAGUGAUACACUGUUUUCCGAUUUUUAUUCAUAAUUUAUUUGUUCUGCUAUGUGUAAUUGCUAUUUGCAAUAGUACCAGCAGCAUUUAUUAAGAAUUUAGUGUAGGUUUUCAGGCUGUGGAAUGAAUUAAUGGAAUUAUAAUGUAUUCUUAUGGGAAAAUCCUGCUCGACAUAUGACCAUUUCAACUUACAAACAAGGUCCUGGAACAAAUUAGUUUCAUAUGUAGAGGUAUCACUGUACAAUACUUUUGGACUUUUGGAUAGUUAUUUUGAGAUUUAGGGUUACUUAAAGGAUUAAUUCCGAUUUUCGCAGAAAUUCGAGUUACGUCGCCAGCGUAGCGACAGAACUCGUUCGUUACCCGGGGACUACCUGUACUGUCCCGCGGGCCACAAUUGGCCCACUGGCCGUAAUUCUGAGACCCCUAUAUUCCGUCAAACGUGUUGGGACCCCAUGGCAACUAAAGUAACCUCCCUGAGGAUGCAGACAACACUAUAAUGAGUACACCCAGAAAAAAUUCCCACGAAGCCAUCCCUGGAAAGGCACACAAAAUUUUGUUCCGUUUUGAGAUCAUUUACAGGUCUAUUUGUCCAAUUUCCAAGGGUCUUUUGUCCAAAAGUCAUCUCUUCAUUGCAUUAUGCUGUGUUUUUGGCGUUUGUGUACUCUUGUGUAAGAAAGUACUUUGCCCCAAAACAUGCCAAAUUCAUUUUAAAUUGGCUGGCACCCCCCGAUAGGAAGAUAUUGGGGACAAAGUUGCAUAUAAAGCAGUGAAGAGGAGAAACUCCACAUCCUCAACAAGAUGAAGACUGUACAGGUUGCUCUUCUCGUCUUUGUGCUCAUCAGCCAGGGUGAGUGUUGUACGUCAUUUCAGCUGUAACGUCUUUAUGAAAAAUAUUUUUCUUUGUCUAGGUGAGGCCCUGGAGUGUAACUGCAGAGGAACACGUAGUUCAUGUAAUGAAUCAACUGAGACCUGCGUAGGUUUCAGCGAUGUCUGUGCCACUUACUACUACUCGCCUUUAUUCCGUAAGUAGUUCAUUCAAGGGUUUUCAUUCUCACAAUGGCGUCUGUUGUAGAUAUGUCUAAAUAACAUUUAAAAAUAAAAAAUCCUCCAAUGAUUAUCAUUUAAAUGCAUAAAUUGCACUUUUUUCUCCUAAAAAUUGAAUUUUCUAAAAGGGCAACUGAAGACCUUUCCGGAUUUUGGUGUAAUUUUACGAAUAUAAACUUUGGACGAGUUCGUCAAAACAACCAUGACAUUAUCAACACGUAAUUGUAAGGAUAAUUUGCGUUUUUUUAGUUUUUUUGCACUCCGUUAAUGUUCCCUUCGCAAACCCGGAAGUGUGACGUAGAUUCCCCGCCGCAACAGAGAAGACUAUCCACAGCUAGCAUUGCAGCAACAACGAUGUCAAUGAUAUUUCCACCAAAGGUAACCAUUCAGGAUCGCUCUUUCGUGACGCUACCGAUGGCAAAGGCUCUGAGGAAAGAUGAACUACAAUAAAUCCCUACAUGUUUGAACCUGAGGCGUCAGAUGACGACGAUUUGCUUGACACAGCAGAUGUCGUCAUGACGCCAAUUGACAGCUCGACACUUCACGAACGGGAGAGUGAGUGGUAAGCCUAAAUCCAGCAUCGUGAUUUUUUCAUUUGAGAGAAUGCGAUUACAUGGUUGUAUAUUUUUCUAUGCUCUCCACAUAGCUAAAACUGGAUAUUAGGUAAUCAGACAGCUCCUACCGAUCUAAAUAUGGUAAAGCUAGCCCAAAUGUGGCUAAAUGAAUGAUAUGUUAUUGAUUUUUCAAAAUAAAUGACAAAACGAUUGUAUUUUCCAGGUGUUGCUGUAAACCGUCAAGUAAUUACCAUUCCAAGAGUAUGCCUGUGUCGUCAGGAGAUCCUAGACUUGAGAGCCAAACUUGAGGAGGCUGAAGCACUGACAGGGGCAUGAAUUACAUUAAAAAAAAUAAAACCAUAAAUUGUAAACAACA
Molecule: long non-coding RNA, 5335 nt
Organism: Corythoichthys intestinalis (scribbled pipefish)
Lineage: Eukaryota; Metazoa; Chordata; Actinopteri; Syngnathiformes; Syngnathidae
Exons: 3
Source: RefSeq, a predicted model, not a curated record